AUACGGGGGGUGCAAGCGUUAAUCGGAAUUACUGGGCGUAAAGCGCGCGUAGGCGGUUUGCUCAGUCGGAUGUGAAAGCCCAGGGCUCAACCUUGGAACCGCAUACGAUACUGGCAAACUAGAGUGUGAGAGAGGAUAGUGGAAUUUCCGGUGUAGCGGUGAAAUGCGUAGAUAUCGGAAGGAACAUCAGUGGCGAAGGCGACUGUCUGGCUCAACACUGACGCUGAGGUGCGAAAGCGUGGGUAGCAAACAGGAUUAGAAACCCUAGUAGUCC
RNAcentral lists this ribosomal RNA (274 nucleotides) under uncultured bacterium. RNAcentral describes it as "partial 16S ribosomal RNA". It matches the Rfam family "Bacterial small subunit ribosomal RNA", at positions 523 to 796 of the family's 1533-position model. The record is from RNAcentral.